RNAcentral lists this long non-coding RNA (288 nucleotides) under Lathyrus oleraceus (garden pea). RNAcentral's name for it is "Pisum sativum (pea) long non-coding RNA (PSAT_LNC038070)". Lineage: Eukaryota; Viridiplantae; Streptophyta; Magnoliopsida; Fabales; Fabaceae. The record is from RNAcentral.
AAAUUAAUGAUGAGGGGAUUGUGAUUCAAUAAGAUUGAUUUAGAGAUGAAUCGAUAGAGUAAUGGAGUGUUGUGAGAUUCUGAGAGUAAUGAGGUUAAGCCCUUUUUUUCCUUUACUAUUUCAAUCCAUUAUUGUUUUUAUUCUAAUAUUACUUUGUCUUGAAUUAGUCAAUAUUAGUUUGUGCCGACUUAGUUAAUAUGAUGUACUACCUUUUCUCAUUAUUAUUUUUAUUAGAAUUGUUAAAUAGCUUUCUUAUAUAUUUGUAUUUUUAAAUAUAUAGUUUUCUUA